CCCUGAAAGCUCCGCGGGUUCCCACCCCAUCUCCUGUCACCUGGGCGCUGGGGCGAGGGCUUCCCAGCCCCAAGGAGCUUUUACAAGGAACACCAAACUAGAGGCCAAGGCUACAGGAAGGCCAAGUGCACUAGGAGGUAAAACAGAGCAGGCGCAAAAUGAGCUGGAAUUGGUUCCUACAUUUAAUAUAACCAGACUGUCCUUUGAGGAGAAGUUAAUCUAGAUGUUAAACGUUCUGAUGUUGUUAAUGGACAGGCUUGCGUUCCCCCUAAAAUUCACGUGUUGAAGCCAAACCCCCAUUGAGACUGUAUUUGGAGACAAAACCUAUCAGAAGGGUCUUAGUGUAAGAGAACACAUGGAACCUGCAGUGCCUGUGUUGGACAUCUCAGCAUGUGUAUCCAAACUCUCUUCCCAGGCCACCAAACAGCUGAUUCUUGGCCAGCACUCUGGCCAGCUGAUAACGCAGCCUGCUCUAGGAAUUACCGCUCUGAGCAAGUGGACUUGGUUCAUCUGCUCAGAAAAUUCCCAAGUCUUGAGUACAUACACAUGGUUGUUGUAGGCAGAAUAAUGCCUAUGAAUAUGUUUAUCAUAGAGCAAAAGAGAGUUAACAUUGCAGAUGGAAUUAAGGCUACUAAUGAGUAGAUUUUAAGAUAGAAAAAUUAUCCCCGAUUAUCUGGGUGAGCCCAGUGUAUGUAAUCGCAAGGGUCCUUUUAAGAGGGGAGACAGGAAGCAGAAGAGUCAGUGUCAUAUUGAUGUGAAGUGAAAACGACUCUCCAGCCAUCACUGACUUGGAAGAUGGAAAGGAACCACAAGCCAAGAAGUACAGGCAGCCUCUAGAAGCUAGAAAACGCACGGAGUGGGCUCACCUAGAACCUCCAGAAGGAAUGCAGCCCGGCCAACAAAACCAUUUUGGACUUCAGACCUCCAAAA
Aethalodelphis obliquidens (Pacific white-sided dolphin) is the source of this 930-nucleotide long non-coding RNA. RefSeq lists it as uncharacterized. The transcript is spliced from 3 exons. The record is from RefSeq and is a predicted model, not a curated record. NCBI's taxonomy places the organism in Eukaryota, Metazoa, Chordata, Mammalia, Artiodactyla, Delphinidae.